ACCUCCCACCCGUGUUGCCCGAACCUAUGUUGCCUCGGCGGGCCCCGCGCCCGCCGACGGCCCCCCUGAACGCUGUCUGAAGUUGCAGUCUGAGACCUAUAACGAAAUUAGUUAAAACUUUCAACAACGGAUCUCUUGGUUCCGGCAUCGAUGAAGAACGCAGCGAAAUGCGAUAACUAAUGUGAAUUGCAGAAUUCAGUGAAUCAUCGAGUCUUUGAACGCACAUUGCGCCCUCUGGUAUUCCGGAGGGCAUGCCUGUCCGAGCGUCAUUGCUGCCCUCAAGCCCGGCUUGUGUGUUGGGCCCCGUCCCCCCCGCCGGGGGGACGGGCCCGAAAGGCAGCGGCGGCACCGCGUCCGGUCCUCGAGCGUAUGGGGCUUCGUCACCCGCUCUAGUAGGCCCGGGCGCCAGCCGACCCCCAACCUUUAAUUAUCUCAGGUUGACCUCGGAUCAGGUAGGGAUACCCGC
RNAcentral lists this ribosomal RNA (466 nucleotides) under Penicillium sp. MS232. Its description in RNAcentral is "eukaryotic LSU rRNA". The stretch from base 116 to 269 matches the Rfam family "5.8S ribosomal RNA". The record is from RNAcentral. Lineage: Eukaryota; Fungi; Ascomycota; Eurotiomycetes; Eurotiales; Aspergillaceae.